This is a non-coding RNA of Xyrichtys novacula (pearly razorfish), 336 nucleotides long. Lineage: Eukaryota; Metazoa; Chordata; Actinopteri; Labriformes; Labridae. The record is from the annotation of a GenBank genome assembly.
UUGUGGGAAAAUCUUCGCCCACUGGACCAAAGAAUGUCAAGAGCUCAUUGCUGGAAAGCAUACUCCGGUCUUCAGUCUAAAGAGGAAGGCAGAGCAGCAGGACACAGAGGUUAGGAAAUUGCCUUGUAAAAACAGUAUUAUCUCAGUGGGAGUCCUUCAAAAUGCACACAGUUGUAUGGAUCAACAUUGUCUCGAUGUAUUUGGUAAUUGAUGUUACUUUUCAAAUUGCCUUGUCAAGGAAACCAUGAAGCAGACGGUAUCGGAUGUCCAAAGAAUGUGCAUGGCAGAUUCAAUGCAAUUCUGUGUCUACCAGACAUCGAACAACACAGGAGAGAG